Molecule: ribosomal RNA, 406 nt
Filed under: uncultured bacterium
Lineage: Bacteria
Description: partial 16S ribosomal RNA
Rfam family: Bacterial small subunit ribosomal RNA
Source: RNAcentral
AUUGAACGCUGGCGGCAGGCCUAACACAUGCAAGUCGAGCGCGCGGCGGACGGGUGAGUAAUGUCUGGGAAACUGCCUGAUGGAGGGGGAUCACUACUGGAAACGGUAGCUAAUACCGCAUACCAUCAGAUGUGCCCAGAUGGGAUUAGCUAGUAGGUGGGGUAACGGCUCACCUAGGCGACGAUCCCUAGCUGGGCUGAGAGGAUGACCAGCCAGACUGGAACUGGUAAACGGUCCAGAGUACUACGGGAGGCAGCAGGGGGGAAUAUUGCACAAUGGGCGCAAGCCGGAGGCAGCCAUGCCGCGUGUAUGAAGAAGGCCUUCGGGUUGUAAAGUACUUUCAGCGGGGAGGCGUUACCCGCAGAAUAAGCACCGGCUAACUCCGUGCCAGCAGCCGCGGUAAUAC